AAUCCGUGAUGUGGGCACUUAGAAUUAUCUUGAAACGUUCCCACGCCUCAUAAAUGGAUUCACCUUCAUAUUUUUUAAAAGUGGUGAUUUCUCGCCUAAGCU
Molecule: non-coding RNA, 102 nt
Organism: Gossypium raimondii (Peruvian cotton)
Lineage: Eukaryota; Viridiplantae; Streptophyta; Magnoliopsida; Malvales; Malvaceae
Source: Rfam